RNAcentral lists this long non-coding RNA (1986 nucleotides) under Numida meleagris (helmeted guineafowl). RNAcentral's name for it is "lncRNA (ENSNMEG00000002524.1)". The record is from RNAcentral. Lineage: Eukaryota; Metazoa; Chordata; Aves; Galliformes; Numididae.
AGGAGGCAAGGGGAGAGAGAAGGGGAAGAAAGACAAGGACAAAGCCUGAGAGUUUACAUGUUAUUCUAAUUUCCCCGGAGGUGUUCAAGAAACAUUUAGAUAUAGAGUUGAGAGACAUGGUUUAGUGGGGUUAUUGGUGGUAGGUGGAUGGUUGGACUGGAUGAUCUUGUAGGUCUUUUCCAACCUAGCUAAUUCUAUGAUUCNGGGGGUGGCAUAGGGGCAGGUUGGGGGGCAGCAGGGCGGGGGCUGGGCUGGCUGUGCCAUGGGAGGGGAGGGAGGAGCAGGAGGGAGGUGGAAGGGGGGUCUCUGUCUCAGCAGGGGCAGAAGGGCUGUGCUGGAUGCCCAGGGAAGAUGUGGAGGAAAACGCCGGAUCUCAGAGAAGAGAAGCGGGAGCUGCAGGAGAGGCUCCGUGGGCUGGAGCUCCAGACGCGCUCUGUGCUGCGGCAGAGGCAGGAGACCCUGGGAAAACUGCGGGCAGUGCUGCAGAAGGAGAGGAUGGCGGCACUCUGGCAGCUGCAGGAGAACCUGGAGAAGGAGCACUGUCACCUCAAGGAGCUGGCAGCCCCAGAAGCCCCGAAGGAGCCACUGACUGCAGCGAGAGCCCUGUGGGAGGCAGAGACUUGUGUGUGGGACCCAGCCCAGCCACCCCCUCCUUCCAAACCAGGGUUGAGCCAUGCCACAGGUGCACAGAGAUGGGGCAAGUGCCAGUGCCACCGCUCUGUCUCCUCCCUGUCUCCAAGCACUGUGCCCGGCCUCCAGCAGCCCCACCAUGGGGUCCUGCACCACAUCCUGCGUUGCCUGUGGGAGCUGCAGGUGGAGGACCUCGGUGUGCUGGGAGCAGAGCUGGGCACCACGGCAAGCAUGGAGGAGAAUGCCCAAGGAGAGUUUCUCUGCGUGCGAGGGGGGAAAUGAGAAUUUUGUGCAGUACUGAUUGCUGCAUUUCCUUUCAGGAGGAGAGAGGGAGUGAGAAUGGAAAUCUUUGUCUGCUUUCUUCCCAAUCAAAAUAAAAGCGUUCCUCAUUAUGUUUUUCUGGACUGGGGAGAUUUCUGAAUUUACUUAUGACACGCAGCCCAGUUUAUAAGCUCCCUUUAGGUACUGGAAGGCCACAGUGAGGUCUUCCCAGAGCCUUCUCUUCACCAGGAUACCCUAAAAUGUGGUAUUUCUACUUCACCUCAUGCUCAGAAGCUUUGGGAUGCUGAUGCAACCUUGACAGCACCCCGUGCAAAGCAUGUUCCUAUGGAAGGCAAUGGAAGACCCUUGAAACAGAUGUUGUUUAACAUCCCUAAAACUGGAUGAAAUACCAAGAAGCAAAUAUCUGUGCCAGAAAUUAUGAACUGGGAUAUAGAUAUAAAAAAAAAAAAAAAAAAGAUGAUAUUUUUAUAAAUAGUAUGGGAAGUUCUGCUGGAGCAACACGUAAUUCAUAGAAACAGCCCUCUGGUACAAGUCACUAUUCAAACACUGAUGGAUGAGAGCUGCUCAUCUCCCCAAGGAAAACAAGAAUUUCAGUCUGGGAAAGCAAAGCUACUUGUACUGUGGUAAUGGUGACCGUGAUCAUAUGGCAAGGGUGCCUGGGACUGAGUUGGUAACAGUAAAGGACUGAGGGUGGUUUUGGGAGACUCUUAUAUCAAGAAAACUGGGAAAUGGUUAUCUCCAUACAGUGUAAUUGUACCUAGAAAAUUAAUGAAAUGGAAUAGAGUGUAAUGAAAUGGGACAGAAUGGAAUGGAACAGAAUGGAAGAGAAAGAAAAGAGGAGAGGAGAAUAAGAGGAGAGGAGAAAGAAAAGGUAGGGAGGGGUGGGGAGGGGAGGGAAGGGAAGGGAAAGGAAGGGAGGAGAAGAGAAGAGAAGAGGAGGGGAGGGGAGGGGAGGGGAGGGAAGGGAAGGGAAGGGAAGGGAAGGGAAGGGAAGGGAAGGGAAACGGAAAAGAGGAUGUCAUUAUCCCUUCACAGGCAAUGCAUGGAGUGGUGGGGAGGAUGGUGGAAGAGUGU